AAUGAACGUUGGCGGCGUGCCUAACACAUGCAAGUCGAGCGAGAAAGCUCCUUCGGGAGUGAGUACAGCGGCGGACGGUUGAGUAACACGUGAGAAUUUGCCCUUCAGUGAAGAAUACUCUCGAGAAAUCGAGCUUAAUGCUGCAUACGUCCCUUCGGGGAGAAAAGUGGCCUCUUUGCUGCUGCUGAAGGAUAAGCUUGCGGACUAUCAGCUUGUUGGUGAGGUAAAGGCUCACCAAGGCUAUGACGGUUAGCCGGCCUGAGAGGGUGGUCGGCCAGAUUGGAACUGAGACACGGUCCAGACUCCUACGGGAGGCAGCAGUGAGGAAUCUUGCGCAAUGGGCGAAAGCCUGACGCAGCGACGCCGCGU
Molecule: ribosomal RNA, 369 nt
Filed under: uncultured bacterium
Lineage: Bacteria
Description: bacterial SSU rRNA
Rfam family: Bacterial small subunit ribosomal RNA
Source: RNAcentral